AGUCGAACGGACUUAACUCAUUCUUUUAGAUUGAGAGCGGUUAGUGGCGGACUGGUGAGUAACACGUAAGCAACCUGCCUAUCAGAGGGGAAUAACAGUGAGAAAUCAUUGCUAAUACCGCAUAAGCUAGUAGUAUCGCAUGAUAUAGCUAGAAAAGGAGCAAUCCGCUGAUAGAUGGGCUUGCGUCUGAUUAGCUAGUUGGUGGGGUAACGGCCUACCAAGGCGACGAUCAGUAGCCGGACUGAGAGGUUGAACGGCCACAUUGGGACUGAGAUACGGCCCAGACUCCUACGGGAGGCAGCAGUCGGGAAUAUUGCGCAAUGGAGGAAACUCUGACGCAGUGACGCCGCGUAUAGGAAGAAGGUUUUCGGAUUGUAAACUAUUGUCGUGAGGGAAGAAAUUGACAGUACCUCAGGAGGAAGCUCCGGCUAACUAUGUGCCAGCAGCCGCGGUAAUACAUAGGGAGCAAGCGUUAUCCGGAUUUAUUGGGUGUAAAGGGUGCGUAGACGGGAAAUUAAGUUAGUUGUGAAAUCCCUCGGCUUAACUGAGGAACUGCAACUAAAACUGAUUUUCUUGAGUACUGGAGAGGAAAGUGGAAUUCCUAGUGUAGCGGUGAAAUGCGUAGAUAUUAGGAGGAACACCAGUGGCGAAGGCGACUUUCUGGACAGUAACUGACGUUGAGGCACGAAAGUGUGGGGAGCAAACAGGAUUAGAUACCCUGGUAGUCCACACUGUAAACGAUGGAUACUAGGUGUAGGAUGUAUUAAGCAUUCUGUGCCGCCGCUAACGCAUUAAGUAUCCCACCUGGGGAGUACGACCGCAAGGUUGAAACUCAAAGGAAUUGACGGGGGCCCGCACAAGCAGUGGAGUAUGUGGUUUAA
Molecule: ribosomal RNA, 881 nt
Filed under: uncultured bacterium
Lineage: Bacteria
Description: bacterial SSU rRNA
Rfam family: Bacterial small subunit ribosomal RNA
Source: RNAcentral